GAUUAAGUUAUUAAGGGCGCACGGUGGAUGCCUUGGCACUAGAAGCCGAUGAAGGACGUUACUAACGACGAUAUGCUUUGGGGAGCUGUAAGUAAGCUUUGAUCCAGAGAUUUCCGAAUGGGGAAACCCAGCAUGAGUUAUGUCAUGUUAUCGAUAUGUGAAUACAUAGCAUAUCAGAAGGCACACCCGGAGAACUGAAACAUCUUAGUACCCGGAGGAAGAGAAAGAAAAUUCGAUUCCCUUAGUAGCGGCGAGCGAAACGGGAAGAGCCCAAACCAACAAGCUUGCUUGUUGGGGUUGUAGGACACUCUAUACGGAGUUACAAAGGACGACAUUAGACGAAUCAU
This 347-nucleotide ribosomal RNA is filed under the name Staphylococcus aureus. RNAcentral describes it as "partial 23S ribosomal RNA". It matches the Rfam family "Bacterial large subunit ribosomal RNA", at positions 1 to 341 of the family's 2925-position model. The record is from RNAcentral. Lineage: Bacteria; Bacillati; Bacillota; Bacilli; Caryophanales; Staphylococcaceae.